RNAcentral lists this transfer RNA (74 nucleotides) under Symphorichthys spilurus. RNAcentral describes it as "tRNA-Val". It matches the Rfam family "tRNA". Rfam says of the family: Transfer RNA (tRNA) molecules are approximately 80 nucleotides in length. Their secondary structure includes four short double-helical elements and three loops (D, anti-codon, and T loops). Lineage: Eukaryota; Metazoa; Chordata; Actinopteri; Lutjaniformes; Lutjanidae. The record is from RNAcentral.
CAGGGUGUAGCUCAGAAUAGCGGAGCAGCUCAUUUACACUGAGAAGACAUUUGUGCAAACCAAAUUAUCCUGAC